AUUGAACGCUGGCGGCAGGCCUAACACAUGCAAGUCGAGCGGAAACGAUCCUAGCUUGCUAGGAGGCGUCGAGCGGCGGACGGGUGAGUAAUGCAUAGGAAUCUGCCCGAUAGUGGGGGAUAACCUGGGGAAACUCAGGCUAAUACCGCAUACGUCCUACGGGAGAAAGCAGGGGAUCUUCGGACCUUGCGCUAUCGGAUGAGCCUAUGUCGGAUUAGCUUGUUGGUGAGGUAAUGGCUCACCAAGGCGACGAUCCGUAGCUGGUCUGAGAGGAUGAUCAGCCACAUCGGGACUGAGACACGGCCCGAACUCCUACGGGAGGCAGCAGUGGGGAAUAUUGGACAAUGGGCGAAAGCCUGAUCCAGCCAUGCCGCGUGUGUGAAGAAGGCUUUCGGGUUGUAAAGCACUUUCAGUGAGGAAGAAAGCCUUGGGGCUAAUACCCCCAAGGGACGACAUCACUCACAGAAGAAGCACCGGCUAACUCCGUGCCAGCAGCCGCGGUAAUACGGAGGGUGCGAGCGUUAAUCGGAAUUACUGGGCGUAAAGCGCGCGUAGGCGGCUUGAUAAGCCGGUUGUGAAAGCCCCGGGCUCAACCUGGGAACGGCAUCCGGAACUGUCAGGCUAGAGUGCAGGAGAGGAAGGUAGAAUUCCCGGUGUAGCGGUGAAAUGCGUAGAGAUCGGGAGGAAUACCAGUGGCGAAGGCGGCCUUCUGGACUGACA
RNAcentral lists this ribosomal RNA (720 nucleotides) under Halomonas sp. Its description in RNAcentral is "bacterial SSU rRNA". It matches the Rfam family "Bacterial small subunit ribosomal RNA", at positions 28 to 739 of the family's 1533-position model. The record is from RNAcentral. Lineage: Bacteria; Pseudomonadati; Pseudomonadota; Gammaproteobacteria; Oceanospirillales; Halomonadaceae.